RNAcentral lists this ribosomal RNA (371 nucleotides) under uncultured bacterium. Its description in RNAcentral is "bacterial SSU rRNA". It matches the Rfam family "Bacterial small subunit ribosomal RNA", at positions 527 to 896 of the family's 1533-position model. The record is from RNAcentral.
GUAGGGUGCGAGCGUUAAUCGGAAUUACUGGGCGUAAAGGGUGCGCAGGCGGUCCCGCAAGUCAGGCGUGAAAUCCCCGGGCUUAACCUGGGAAUGGCACUUGAAACUACGGGACUUGAGUGUGGCAGAGGGAGGUGGAAUUCCACGUGUAGCGGUGAAAUGCGUAGAUAUGUGGAGGAACACCAAUGGCGAAGGCAGCCUCCUGGGUCAACACUGACGCUCAUGCACGAAAGCGUGGGGAGCAAACAGGAUUAGAUACCCUGGUAGUCCACGCCCUAAACGAUGAUGACUAGUUGUUGGAGGAGUUAAAUCCUUUAGUAACGCAGCUAACGCGAGAAGUCAUCCGCCUGGGGAGUACGGUCGCAAGAUUA